This 484-nucleotide ribosomal RNA is filed under the name uncultured bacterium. Its description in RNAcentral is "partial 16S ribosomal RNA". It matches the Rfam family "Bacterial small subunit ribosomal RNA", at positions 30 to 507 of the family's 1533-position model. The record is from RNAcentral.
AUUGAACGCUGGCGGCAGGCCUAACACAUGCAAGUCGAGCGGAUGAAGGGAGCUUGCUCCUGGAUUCAGCGGCGGACGGGUGAGUAAUGCCUAGGAAUCUGCCUGGUAGUGGGGGAUAACGUCCGGAAACGGGCGCUAAUACCGCAUACGUCCUGAGGGAGAAAGUGGGGGAUCUUCGGACCUCACGCUGUCAGAUGAGCCUAGGUCGGAUUAGCUAGUUGGUGGGGUAAAGGCCUACCAAGGCGACGAUCCGUAACUGGUCUGAGAGGAUGAUCAGCCACACUGGAACUGAGACACGGUCCAGACUCCUACGGGAGGCAGCAGUGGGGAAUAUUGGACAAUGGGCGAAAGCCUGAUCCAGCCAUGCCGCGUGUGUGAAGAAGGUCUUCGGAUUGUAAAGCACUUUAAGUUGGGAGGAAGGGCAGUAAGUUAAUACCUUGCUGUUUUGACGUUACCAACAGAAUAAGCACCGGCUAACUUCGUG